This 194-nucleotide unclassified non-coding RNA is filed under the name uncultured fungus. RNAcentral describes it as "sequence contains ITS1". Lineage: Eukaryota; Fungi. The record is from RNAcentral.
UUAACUAUUAAAGUGUUACUCGGACAGAAUUUUACGGCAGGAUUUUGGGGUCCUCUGACAGGCACGAGCUAGCAGGAGCCAGCAGUCGCGAGACAGGCCUGUCAAAGCAACAAGGGUAACAUAAACAAAGGGUGGAGAUCUACCCAGAGGGCAGCGUCUCUUUAAUGAUCCUUCCGCAGGUUCACCUACGGAAA